CUUCGGGCCUUGCGCUAUCAGAUGAGCCUAGGUCGGAUUAGCUAGUUGGUGAGGUAAUGGCUCACCAAGGCGACGAUCCGUAACUGGUCUGAGAGGA
RNAcentral lists this ribosomal RNA (97 nucleotides) under Klebsiella sp. RNAcentral's name for it is "partial 16S ribosomal RNA". It matches the Rfam family "Bacterial small subunit ribosomal RNA", at positions 207 to 300 of the family's 1533-position model. Lineage: Bacteria; Pseudomonadati; Pseudomonadota; Gammaproteobacteria; Enterobacterales; Enterobacteriaceae. The record is from RNAcentral.